GCUUCGAUGGCCGAGUGGUUAAGGCGUUGGACUCGAAAUCCAAUGGGAUAUUCCCGCGCAGGUUCGAAUCCUGGUCGCAGCG
Molecule: non-coding RNA, 82 nt
Organism: Ciona savignyi (Pacific transparent sea squirt)
Lineage: Eukaryota; Metazoa; Chordata; Ascidiacea; Phlebobranchia; Cionidae
Source: Rfam